GGAGGGCAAGUCUGGUGCCAGCAGCCGCGGUAAUUCCAGCUCCAAUAGCGUAUAUUAAAGUUGUUGCAGUUAAAAAGCUCGUAGUUGAAUUUCGGGAUCAGUACGCCGGUCGUGCCUUCGGUAUGCACUGGUGUCACUGGUUUCUCCCUUCUGAAGAACCAUCAUGCCAUUCAGUUGGUGUGGCGGGGAAUCAGGACUGUUACUUUGAAAAAAUUAGAGUGUUUAAAGCAGGCUCGCGCUUGAAUACAUUAGCAUGGAAUAAUGAAAUAGGACGUUUGACCCUAUUUUGUUGGUUUCUAGGAUCGACGUAAUGAUUAAUAGGGAUAGUUGGGGGCAUUAGUAUUCAAUUGUCAGAGGUGAAAUUCUUGGAUUUAUUGAAGACUAACUACUGCGAAAGCAUUUGCCAAGGAUGUUUUCAUUAAUCAAGAACGAAAGUUAGGGGAUCGAAGACGAUCAGAUACCGUCGUAGUCUUAACCAUAAACUAUGCCGACUAGGGAUCGGAUGAUGUUAAUUUUUUAAUGACUCAUUCGGCGCCUUACGGGAAACA
RNAcentral lists this ribosomal RNA (548 nucleotides) under uncultured Glomeromycotina. Its description in RNAcentral is "SSU rRNA". It matches the Rfam family "Eukaryotic small subunit ribosomal RNA", at positions 550 to 1099 of the family's 1831-position model. Lineage: Eukaryota; Fungi; Glomeromycota. The record is from RNAcentral.